Molecule: ribosomal RNA, 394 nt
Filed under: uncultured bacterium
Lineage: Bacteria
Description: partial 16S ribosomal RNA
Rfam family: Bacterial small subunit ribosomal RNA
Source: RNAcentral
CCUACGGGUGGCAGCAGUGAGGAAUAUUGGUCAAUGGCCGGGAGGCUGAACCAGCCAAGUCGCGUGAAGGAAGACGGCUCUACGGGUUGUAAACCUCUUUUGUCAGGGAGUAAGGUGCAGGUCGGGUCCUUCUUUGAGAGUACCUUAAGAAUAAGCAUCGGCUAACUCCGUGCCAGCAGCCGCGGUAAUACGGAGGAUGCGAGCGUUAUCCGGAUUUAUUGGGUUUAAAGGGUGCGCAGGUUGGUGGUUAAGUCAGCGGUAAAAGUGGGGGGCUCAACCCGGGAUGUGCCUUUGAAACUGGGAGACUUGAGUGCGUGAAGGGUAGGCGGAAUGCGUGGUGUAGCGGUGAAAUGCAUAGAUAUCACGCAGAACUCCGAUCGCGAAGGCAGCUUAC